This 30-nucleotide non-coding RNA is filed under the name Homo sapiens (human). Lineage: Eukaryota; Metazoa; Chordata; Mammalia; Primates; Hominidae. The record is from RNAcentral.
UCAAAGGGUAAAUGCUAUCAAAUACAUUGA